GUGGCUAGGGAUGAAACACUAGUAGGUCACAAUGGAGAUACUAUCAAAACAAAUCUUAGAUCAACGAAUUAUCUUAGAUUAUCCAUAGAAACUAAAGGAGUGCGAUCCGAUGAAUUUGAGUGGAGAUAUUUAAGAGAGCAAAAAUUGCUUAGGUCACUAAUAUUAACUGGAAACCUCAAAAGUCAGCCUGGGGAUUCGUUGACUAUCUUCCCAAGUCUACGUCUUUUGCAUAUAGAAUCUGCAAAUAUUGCUGCACUAGUUGAAUCUAUGUACCAACUAAAGCAUUUGAGAUAUUUGGCAUUAAAGAGGACUGAUGUGUGUAGACUACCAGAGAACAUCCAUGAGAUGAAAUUCCUACAGCAUAUUAGCCUUGAAGGUUGUGAAAGUUUCAUGAAACUUCCUGAUAGCAUUAUCAAGCUGCAAGGGUUGAGGUUCCUUGAUAUGGAUGACACUCUUGUAAAUAGUAUUCCUAGGGGUUUCCGAGCUCUUACAAAUUUGAGUGCACUAUAUGGAUUCCCAGCCUAUACUGAUGGUGACUGGUGUAGUCUGGAAGAGUUGGGGUCUCUUACCCAGCUCAAUAAACUUUCACUAGAGAGCCUAGAAAAUGUAUCUAGUGCCUUGUUGGCUGCAAAGGCAAGGAUAAAUGCAAAGAAACAACUUACCUAUCUUGGUUUGAAAUGUGGUGGUAGAGUGGGAGAUGGGUUGGUCCAAGGAGAAGUCUCUGAAUCCGAGGAGCAAAUAAUUGAGGCGGUGUUUGAUGUGCUAUGUCCUCAGCCUUGCAUAGAACACAUCAAAAUAAAA
This 801-nucleotide ribosomal RNA is filed under the name Triticum aestivum (bread wheat). RNAcentral describes it as "partial small subunit ribosomal RNA". The record is from RNAcentral. Lineage: Eukaryota; Viridiplantae; Streptophyta; Magnoliopsida; Poales; Poaceae.